RNAcentral lists this ribosomal RNA (516 nucleotides) under Euploea core. RNAcentral's name for it is "partial 16S ribosomal RNA". The stretch from base 383 to 516 matches the Rfam family "Archaeal large subunit ribosomal RNA", at positions 2542 to 2676 of the family's 2987-position model. Lineage: Eukaryota; Metazoa; Arthropoda; Insecta; Lepidoptera; Nymphalidae. The record is from RNAcentral.
UUUUUGAAAAUAAUUUAAAGUCUAAUCUGCCCACUGAUGAAAAUUAAAGGGCUGCAGUAUAUUGACUGUACAAAGGUAGCAUAAUCAUUAGUCUUUUAAUUGAAGACUUGUAUGAAAGAUUUAAUGAAAUAUAAACUGUCUCUUAUUUAAAAAUAGAAUUUAAUUUUUUAGUUAAAAAGCUAAAAUAAAUUUAAAAGACGAGAAGACCCUAUAGAGUUUUAUAAUUAAAUUAUUUAAGAUUUUUUAUAUAAUUUAUAGUUAAAAAUAAUUUAAUUAUUAUAUUGGGGUGAUAAAAAAAUUAAAAUAACUUUUUUUUUAUAAUAACAUAAAUAAGUGAAAAGUUGAUCCAUUAAUAAUGAUUAAAAGAAAAAAUUACCUUAGGGAUAACAGCGUAAUUUUUUUUUUUAGUACAAAUAAAAAAAAGAGAUUGCGACCUCGAUGUUGGAUUAAGAUAAAAUUUAGAUGCAAAAGUUUAAAAUUUUGAUCUGUUCGAUCAUUAAAAUCUUACAUGAUCUG